GGGGAUGUAAAGGUUUCGACAGGGAGUACGAAGCAAGAGCAGCGGGUAGUGUUGUGGCCGCACUUAAAAUGCCACACAAACAUAAUUAACAACACAGUUAAUUUCCGUGGUAGCCGCAUGGCUGCCAUUGCGGCCUAAUUUAAAGGCCGCCGUCCGGCCCAUCUUACCGUAAGGUGGUGCCCGGGCGUCAUUUAAACGGUGAACGUGAACGUCCUUAAGCUUUGCGGGGCGUCAUGAAUUUAUGAAGCUACCGACGUAGCGGCUUGGUUACUGGCCUGCUGCCGGGGGAACCCUUGUAGGUAACCUGCACCCGGAGAUACUGUUGUGGACUGCUUUUUGGACACGGGUUCGAUUCCCGUCAUCUCCACCA
Molecule: transfer-messenger RNA, 370 nt
Filed under: Ruminococcaceae bacterium OttesenSCG-928-A16
Lineage: Bacteria; Bacillati; Bacillota; Clostridia; Eubacteriales; Oscillospiraceae
Rfam family: transfer-messenger RNA
About the family: Bacterial tmRNA, also known as 10Sa RNA or SsrA, is named for its dual tRNA and mRNA-like properties. Its role is to liberate the mRNA from a stalled ribosome.
Source: RNAcentral